This 543-nucleotide long non-coding RNA is filed under the name Cricetulus griseus (Chinese hamster). RNAcentral's name for it is "lncRNA (ENSCGRG00015033704.1)". The record is from RNAcentral. Lineage: Eukaryota; Metazoa; Chordata; Mammalia; Rodentia; Cricetidae.
CGAAGGUCAAGGAAUUGCUCAAGAAGAAACAGAAUAACUGAAAAUAAGGUGGGGUAGCUCAAUUCCCAAAGCACAGCUACAGAAUGGGAACAUGCUUGAUGAUCUCCAGAGCUCCACACCAGGAAGUGGUCACUAAGGCACACAGAGGAGGAUUGAAGUUAUUGUCAAAUUCAUUUUGUGGCUUCAUGGCUGUUUUCCGUGGUUGCAUUUAUGUCAUUAAGUUGUACCCUUCUUUCCCCGGAAACAAAUGGAUUAGCUGCCUACUCUACUUACCUGAUGCAGUUGUGACGAGUAUCCCAGGUUACGGAGCAAACUGACAGAAAAGAGAUCCACAAUGAAGGCAAUUAAUCAAUUAACUGUACAAUCUGAGAAGAUUGACAAGCACAAAGGUGUCUAUUUCUUCAGCAAUAUGUGUUUCAGGGAUCAUUGAGGAAGAGGGAGAAGAAAGACUGUAAGGUGGUGGAUGGCUACAGCAGAACCGUUUCCUAGACAACACAGGACUGUUUCACAUGGAAUUCACAGUGGAUGACCUUCCCUCAGAAG